GAGUUUGAUCGUGGCUCAGGAUGAACGCUGGCGGCGUGCUUAGCACAUGCAAGUCGAACGAUUAAGACGGCUUCGGCCGUGUAUAGAGUGGCGAACGGGUGAGUAACACGUGACCAACCUGCCCCGCGCUCCGGGACAACCGCUGGAAACGGCGGCUAAUACCGGAUGCUCCGGGGAGGCCCCAUGGCCUCCCCGGGAAAGCCCCGACGGCGCGGGAUGGGGUCGCGGCCCAUUAGGUAGACGGCGGGGUAACGGCCCACCGUGCCCGCGAUGGGUAGCCGGACUGAGAGGUCGACCGGCCACAUUGGGACUGAGAUACGGCCCCAGACUCCUACGGGAGGCAGCAGUGGGGAAUUUUGCGCAAUGGGGGGAACCCUGACGCAGCAACGCCGCGUGCGGGACGAAGGCCUUCGGGUUGUAAACCGCUUUCAGCAGGGAAGAUUCAGACGGUACCUGCAGAAG
RNAcentral lists this ribosomal RNA (462 nucleotides) under uncultured bacterium. RNAcentral describes it as "bacterial SSU rRNA". It matches the Rfam family "Bacterial small subunit ribosomal RNA", at positions 9 to 487 of the family's 1533-position model. The record is from RNAcentral.